Molecule: ribosomal RNA, 1441 nt
Filed under: metagenome
Description: bacterial LSU rRNA
Rfam family: Bacterial large subunit ribosomal RNA
Source: RNAcentral
UAGAACCGGGGUAAGCGUGUAGGAGGAGGACCAGGCAAAUCCGGGCCUCAUAUACUCUGAGACGUGAUACCGAGCCGCUUCAGACGAAGUCAUUAAUCCUAUGCUGCCUAGAAAAGCCCAGUAGCGAGUUGACAUGGUGCCCGUACCCCAAACCAACACAGGUGGACAGGUAGAGCAUACCAAGGCGAGUGGGAUAACUAUGGUUAAGGAACUCGGCAAAUUUCCUCCGUAACUUCGGGAUAAGGAGGACCCCAGUAGCGUGACGAGACCUGCUCUCCGAGCGUGAAGGGGUGGCACAAAAUUGAGGGAAGCGACUGUUUACCAAAAACACAGCAGCGUGCUAAGCCGUAAGGCGCUGUAUACGCUGUGACUCCUGCCCGGUGCUGGAAGGUUACGGGGAUGGGUUAGUCCCUUGGGACGAAGCUCUGAACCUAAGCUCCAGUAAACGGCGGCCGUAACUAUAACGGUCCUAAGGUAGCGAAAUUCCUUGUCGGGUAAGUUCCGACCUGCACGAAUGGAGUAACGACUUCCCUACUGUCUCAACCAUAGACCCAGCGAAAUUGAAGUACGAGUAAAGAUGCUCGUUAGCUGCAGAAGGACGGAAAGACCCCGUGGACCUUUACUAUAACUUGAUGUUGUGUUUUGUCAUAUGUUGUGUAGGAUAGGUGGGAGACAAGGAAGCAUGGACGCUAGUCUGUGUGGAGUCAUCGUUGAAAUACCACCCUGCAUAUGGUGAGGCUCUAACCUAGACCCGUUAUCCGGGUUGGGGACAGCGUCAGGCGGGUAGUUUAACUGGGGCGGUUGCCUCCUAAAGAGUAACGGAGGCGCCCAAAGGUUCCCUCAGCCUGGUUGGCAAUCAGGCGUCGAGUGCAAUGGCAAAAGGGAGCUUGACUGCGAGACCUACAAGUCGAGCAGGAGCGAAAGCUGGGCAUAGUGGUCCGGCGGUUGCGUGUGGAAGCGCCGUCGCUCAACGGAUAAAAGGUACCCCGGGGAUAACAGGCUAAUCUUGCCCAAGCGUCCAUAGCGACGGCAAGGUUUGGCACCUCGAUGUCGGCUCAUCGCAUCCUGGGGCUGAAGCAGGUCCCAAGGGUUGGGCUGUUCGCCCAUUAAAGCGGUACGCGAGCUGGGUUCAGAACGUCGUGAGACAGUUCGGUCCCUAUCCUCUGUAGCCGUAGGUGAAUUGAGGAAAGCUGUCCCUAGUACGAGAGGACCGGGACGGACGCAGCUCUCGUGUGCCAGUUGUCCUGCCAAGGGCAUGGCUGGUUAGCGACCUGCGGAAAGGAUAACCGCUGAAAGCAUCUAAGCGGGAAGCCUCUUCCAAGAUGAAUUCACCCACAGGGUUAACCUGGUAAGGCCCGUGGUAGACCACCACGUUGAUAGGCCGGAAGUGUAAGCGUGGCAACACGUUCAGCUGACCGGUACUAAUCGGCCGAGGGCUCGA